RNAcentral lists this ribosomal RNA (539 nucleotides) under Aphelenchoides besseyi. RNAcentral describes it as "eukaryotic LSU rRNA". It matches the Rfam family "Eukaryotic large subunit ribosomal RNA", at positions 432 to 852 of the family's 3401-position model. The record is from RNAcentral. Lineage: Eukaryota; Metazoa; Nematoda; Chromadorea; Rhabditida; Aphelenchoididae.
GACAUUCCGCAAGGUUGUCUAGGAGUGUUGUUGUUGUGCUCGUUGGAUGCAUUUGCGUGCGGAGUGCGCCGAGUGGGUCGAUGUCGCUGCCGGAAGGGCGUAUAGAGGACUCGGGUUUUCGGACUCGAGAAUCCUGUGCGUUCGGAUAGCAGGUGAUGUUGGCUCGCUGUUGUGGAGUGCGGGUGAAUUCGCGAUGGGCGUCGGUUGUGAGUUGUGGUUGCGGAUGGCACAUGUGUCUUCCGUUUCCGCGGCCUACGAUCGGCGUUCGUUGCCCCGGCACUCGACUCGGUGUAUAGUCGGUCACCCAUUCGACCCGUCUUGAAACACGGACCAAGGAGUUUAAGGUGUACGCGAGUCAUUGAGCUGCGAAACUCAAAGGCGUAAUGAAAGUGAGACAUUGGAUGUCGACGAUGUGAGCGUUGGGCGUUUCGACGUCCGGCGCGCAACAUCGCCCCGUGACUAGGACUUGUUCUGUUGCGGAGGUUGAGCGUAAGCUUUGAGACCCGAAAGAUGGUGACUAUGCCCGAACAGGAUGAAGC